UUUUAUGUGCAUGUGAUAUGAGGAUACAUUAUAGGUCAUUUUGGACCAAUGCCAUUGAACAAGUGAUUUUCCCCAACUUCAAAAAUGCAUAACUCCUUAAUAUUAAAUCCAAAUGAGGUCAAGUUUGUGACCAUUUUGAAGGACUUUCAUAGAGAAACAACUUUAUGAAGGAACAUUUCUCAUUUGUAGCUCACAUAAAAAGUUAGCCAAGGUGGAAUAAGUGAACAUAUGGCUUGACACUUCAAUUUUUUUUUGACAUGUUUGAUUUUC
RNAcentral lists this long non-coding RNA (270 nucleotides) under Lathyrus oleraceus (garden pea). RNAcentral's name for it is "Pisum sativum (pea) long non-coding RNA (PSAT_LNC013601)". The record is from RNAcentral. Lineage: Eukaryota; Viridiplantae; Streptophyta; Magnoliopsida; Fabales; Fabaceae.